UUGCCUGUAGCUCAGUGGAAAGAGCAACCGCCUUCUAAGCGGUUUGUCGCUGGUUCGAAUCCAGCCAGGUGAGCCA
RNAcentral lists this transfer RNA (76 nucleotides) under Pseudocitrobacter sp. 73. RNAcentral describes it as "tRNA-Arg". It matches the Rfam family "tRNA". From Rfam's summary of the family: Transfer RNA (tRNA) molecules are approximately 80 nucleotides in length. The record is from RNAcentral. Lineage: Bacteria; Pseudomonadati; Pseudomonadota; Gammaproteobacteria; Enterobacterales; Enterobacteriaceae.